Molecule: long non-coding RNA, 738 nt
Organism: Alosa sapidissima (American shad)
Lineage: Eukaryota; Metazoa; Chordata; Actinopteri; Clupeiformes; Clupeidae
Exons: 4
Source: RefSeq, a predicted model, not a curated record
ACAGAGACGUCUGCUUGACCUCACUGGUUUAAACAGUCCAUGGUCACGGUGUGAAAUGUCCUUUAAAAUAUUUUGGGCCCUUGUCGACACUCUUGUGGUAUAGAGAGGGUAGGGAGAGGUGAUCUGAUGGUAUCUCAGCAGUAAAAGUCAAGUGUCUAUAAAAGAGAAAGAAAACAUAUAUUACAAUUGGCCCUGCCCAUGAGUAUAAUGAAUGCAAACUAGUCCGCUUUUGUGACCUAUAAAAGCCAAACCACACGGAGCCUAGAAGUCAGGUGCAAUAGUUGUGCAGUAGUAAUGCAGAUGUGUGAUAUUGGGCAAUAAGACGGAAUUUUACUGACUUGAUACAUACGGUCAUUUCCAAUCACCACAACAAUCUUCAUGUUGAGGUCGGCCUUCUGGGCCACUUCCUGAAGUGCGACAGCAUACGCAAGUAGGUUCGGCGAGGGUUGCUCACCACACCACCAGAGGACCAUGUUAGAAAUGACUUGCAAGAUGUCAUCCUGUUUUACUUUAAGGAUCCUUGGCUUUGGCAGUUGUGAGCAGAGGCAUAAUGAUUUAGAGAGUUCCACUCUGCCAGAGUAGAAGACAGCACCAUGGCACAGAAAUCCAUAGAAAAGGGCAGGGUCUCACCUGGUGACUGCUGGCCUGUGGGGGUGGUCCUGCUGGAUGAGGUGCUGGAAGUACUCCUCCACCACUGAGGCACUCAGGUGCUUCUUCAGGUACGGGUAGAAGAGGGGA